This is a long non-coding RNA of Hippocampus zosterae (dwarf seahorse), 518 nucleotides long. RefSeq lists it as uncharacterized. The transcript has 3 exons. NCBI's taxonomy places the organism in Eukaryota, Metazoa, Chordata, Actinopteri, Syngnathiformes, Syngnathidae. The record is from RefSeq and is a predicted model, not a curated record.
CCGGCCCGGGUCCCAACGGGAAAUCUGCCAAUGUGACUGCAAAGUGAACGCCCGGAUUUGUCCUGACACGCCCACUUUUUUCCAACAUCAAAUCAGCGUGUGAGCGGGAACUGGAACAUUUUCUGGCCUCUCAAUCUUGGACAGAAGACCAUUGAAAAAGAAGAAACAGACAGCCUGUCAGUGAAUAAGGUCGGGGACUGUCGUUCCCAGCCUAGUCAGUUCUCGUACUUCUAGAUGGGGCUAGGUGCCUCUGUUGCCCUUGGAUGGCUCGUCUUCAAGUCCAACUUGGCAGAGAAAUGACGACGCUUUGAUGGUCUGAACGUCAACCUGGCUCGCUCCAUAAAUCCUGACUGGAAGGCGUUGAAAAAGAGCAACACUUUGAAAAAGGCAGGUACUGUGCACACAGACAGCAUGUGCAUGUGUGAGGUAUCGCAUGAAAAGUGCUGUCACACAAAAAAAACACACAUUUGGAUGUCACAAAUGUAAACCUUUGAACGGCGACAAGCAUUUAGGCAUGU